Molecule: ribosomal RNA, 253 nt
Filed under: uncultured bacterium
Lineage: Bacteria
Description: partial 16S ribosomal RNA
Rfam family: Bacterial small subunit ribosomal RNA
Source: RNAcentral
UACAGAGGGGGCGAGCGUUGUUCGGAAUUACUGGGCGUAAAGGGCGCGUAGGCGGCCUUCUAAGUCGAACGUGAAAUCCCCGGGCUCAACCCGGGAACUGCGUCCGAUACUGGGAGGCUUGAAUCCGGGAGAGGGAUGUGGAAUUCCAGGUGUAGCGGUGAAAUGCGCAGAUAUCAGGAGGAACACCGGUGGCGAAGGCGGGUCUCUGGGCCGAUACUGACGCUGAGGAGCGAAAGCGUGGGGAGCAAACAGG